UCAAAAGAUAAGAUGCCAUGGCUGGUUACCAGACCAAGAAGCAUAUUUCUGAAAAAGCACAUCUCUAAUGCCGACUUCCUAUGAUGAGCGGUAAUCAAACCAAAGUUAAAAUAACACAAGAUUCAGAGCGUUACUCAUCUGCUAUAUCACCUCAACACCUCAAACUACAACUGAAAAGGAAAAACGGACAAGAGGGGGUGGGUGAAGCUAAUUUUUAAAAGUUACCAGAGCCGGCCAGAUCCAGCUCCAUUCCUGAUUGGUGUCGGACUCCACUGCUACGUGUUGCUGAGUGAUGACGACAAACUACAGCCGGUGCUAGCCAGACAUCACUUCGGUCUUUUACGUUGGACUUCUGAGGAUGAACUGAUGCCAACUCCAAGACAUCAGAUACUUCAUAUGCCACUGCCUGAAACUUGGACUUAGGAUGGACCCCACCGAACCUCACCGAAAUUAUCUGCCUCAUUGAUCUCUGCCAGCAUCACCUUUGUCUAUUGAUGGAUUACACUCAUGAAAUGGAAUACAUAGACUAACAUUAAAAGCCACAGUCACCUUCGGCUUACUCACUGGGGUUCUAAAUACAAUUAUUAUUUAACUAUUUAAUUAUUUUAAUACACAAUUUACAAUUACACAGUGAUGACUAAGACUUUACAGAUAUUACAGUUCCAUUGUCUGUAAAAGCAUGAUUUUUCUGUAAAGCUGCUUUGAAAAGUUGUGUGUUGUGAAAGGGGCUAUACAAAUAAAAAAUGACGACUUAUUUUCUCUUUGAAAGGGAUUUUGUUUGUAAUUAUCUUCCAAAAUGUGCAUGAAAAGUAAAGAACACACCCCUUUUUGCUCAGGUUAUAUUUUUUAUUUUAUAAUUGCACUGUACUUUUUAAUAUCUACAAUGAAAAUUCACAAUACUGUCUUUUAUAUAGUGAUGCUGUCAGCUGUGUUUUAAUGCAUGACCUUAUUAUCGUGUUGCAGGUAACUGAGUUAUGAGUGUCUCCGAUGUGUAGUGUUCACAAUAUACUGAUUCAUGACAUAGAGGGUGAGAUGAGACACAGCAACUGUCAGGAUAAAGGGUGGUUAAAUACAGAGCUCCAGCUAAAAACCAUUCAGUUCCUCUCCUAUCUGGUUUCUCGACAGCUGGCAUUGCAUUUAGAUUAAAUAUAGGAUAAUUAUCAGUAAUGCAACAUCCAAAUUCCCUAUUUCAACAGAUAUGUAUCUUAAAUAAGGCCUAACAAGCCAAAAUAA
Molecule: long non-coding RNA, 1233 nt
Organism: Myxocyprinus asiaticus (Chinese sucker)
Lineage: Eukaryota; Metazoa; Chordata; Actinopteri; Cypriniformes; Catostomidae
Exons: 3
Source: RefSeq, a predicted model, not a curated record